UUUUAAAGGUUGAAACCAUUUGCCCUUCUUUCAGAAAAGUAUAAGCAGAACAAAUUACCAACUACAAUGCCAACAAUGGGGCUGCCAAUCCUUAGAAGAAUGUGAAGGGCUGCCAAUUUCUUGGAAGAGUAAAAUCUCUUAAGACCAAUUUCAAUAAAAUCUUCAUGGUAAGAUCA
Molecule: long non-coding RNA, 176 nt
Organism: Lemur catta (Ring-tailed lemur)
Lineage: Eukaryota; Metazoa; Chordata; Mammalia; Primates; Lemuridae
Exons: 2
Source: RefSeq, a predicted model, not a curated record